Long non-coding RNA from Oncorhynchus keta (chum salmon), 752 nucleotides. RefSeq lists it as uncharacterized. The record is from RefSeq and is a predicted model, not a curated record. NCBI's taxonomy places the organism in Eukaryota, Metazoa, Chordata, Actinopteri, Salmoniformes, Salmonidae. The transcript has 2 exons.
UUCGAAAUUCUUUCGAUUUUUUGUCAAUUACACAUGUGUAAGAACUGUAUGAAUAUACUUUUGUCCAAUUUUAUUAUCAUAUUUUUUUAUAUAUUUUUUUAAAUUGUGCAUAAGGAUUUUUUUUGUGGGCCAAAUGACGUAAGAAAUUUGACAUGCUCAAAAAUCCUGCAGAAAUGCAAAAUUGACUGGCCUGAUGAACUCGGGAUGGCCGGGCAGUGAUAGUUGUUCCUUUCCAUCACUCGUUGUGUUGACUUCAUCAUGUCCAUUUUGUGAUGUUUUUUCACUAUAUAAUCAUAUUGCAAGUGCACGUGCAUUUGCAAUAUGUUUCAAUGUGCAUUUACCAUAUGAAAUUUGACCUUGCUCAAAAUGCAAAAUUGACUGGUCUGAUGAACACAGGAUGGCCGAGCAGUGAGAGUUGUACCUUUCCAUCACUCGUUGUGUUGAUUUCAUCAUGUCCAUUUGUUUAUGUUUUCUCACUUUUGCAAAGUCACUGUGCAUUUGCAAUAUGGUUCAAUGGGCAGGUACCAUCACGAAUUUGUCAUGCUAUAAAAAUCCUGCAGGAAUGUGAAAUUGACUGGCCUGAUGAACACAGGAUGGCCUGGCAGUGAUAGUUGUUCCUUUCCAUCACUCGUUGUGUUGAUUUCAUCAUGUCCAUUAGGUGAUGUUUUUUUCACUAUAGAAUCAUAUUGCAAAUGCACGUGCAUUGUUGUGCAACUGGUAACCCAAAAAUAAAAAUAUGCUUGUAAAUGCAU